AUGUGGAGUGCAGGAUGCGUGGAGCAGUGGACGCCGACGGCGGCGAUGGUGGCGACGAACGUCGUGAUCGCCGUCAUGACCGCGCUGCUCAAGCAGGCGCUGAGCCAGGGGAUGAACCGGCUGGUCCUCAUCACUUUCAGGCAGAUGCUGGCCACUGUAUUCCUCGGCCCCAUUGCCUACUUCAAGGAAAGGAAGACAAGACCAAAGAUCACUGCUGAAAUCUUUGCGUACCUGUUCCUUAGUGGAAUCCUCGGCCCGGUGCUGCUUCAGUACACGCUCUUCGUCGGGCUGGAGUACACGACCGCAACGUUUGCUGCGACCUUCGGCAAUCUGCUCCCGGUGGUUACCUUCCUGAUAUCACUCGCUUUCGGGUAUGAGACGCUGGAGGUUCGGAGCAAGUCCGGGAGCGCCAAGAUCUGCGGCACGCUGCUGUCCCUCACGGGGGCCAUGACGCUCACCUUCUACAAGGGCGCGUCCCUUACCCACCACCUCCACCACCACCUGCCUCCGGCGGCAGCGGCGGCGGCGGCGGCGGCCGGCGUCGAGGAGCAGCACCGGAGCGCGGCGCGGUGGGUGCUGGGGUCGGCGUCGAUGCUGGCGAACGUGGUGGGGUUCGCGGGGUGGCUGCUGCUGCAGCGGCGGCUCACGCGGCUGUACCCGGCCGUGUACUCGGCCACGGCGCUCAUGUCGCUGCUCAGCUUCGCGCAGGCGGCGGCGCUGGCGCUAUCCACCCAGUGGGGCGCCGGCGCCGCCGCCUGGCGGCUCCGCGGCACCGUCGAGAUCGCCGCCGCCGUCUACUGCGGGGUGGUGGCGUCCGGGGUCGGGUACCUGCUGCUGACCUACUGCGUGGAGAAGCGGGGGCCGGUGUUCACCGCCGCCUUCAGCCCGCUGGCGCAGAUGUUCGUCGCCGGCAUCGACCUCUGCGUCCUCCACGAGCCCCUCUACCUCGGCAGCGUGCUGGGGUCUGUGCUGGUGAUCCUGGGCCUCUACCUCGUGCUGUGGGGCAAGAGGGAGGAAGCCGCCGUCGCCGCAGCCGCCACCGCCGCUCCGGCGAAGACGGUCGAAGCAGCAGCAGCUGGCCACGGAGACGUGGCAGAGCAGCAGGAGAGAGUGUGA
Molecule: ribosomal RNA, 1116 nt
Filed under: Triticum aestivum (bread wheat)
Lineage: Eukaryota; Viridiplantae; Streptophyta; Magnoliopsida; Poales; Poaceae
Description: partial small subunit ribosomal RNA
Source: RNAcentral